AGGCUUGAAACUGCAGAUAGACUGGGCGUGAUGUACUAUCAGCUUGGAUAGGACCCAAAGAACAACAUGUUUAUGUGGAAAGAAAGCCAUGGAUGAAGGAAUCAAGACUCUGUCCUGGGGUCUUGUCCUAAGAACAGGGAGGAACAGAAGAGGGAGCAUGGUGGCAUUGUUAGUUUUCAGUGGGGUGCUGAGGAUUGCCCAGGAUUUAGGGGGCCAGGUGAGGAUGACAUUCUCUGAGCCUCUUGUAUUCCUUGUGAUUUUUAGGUAUUAAGUGUGCGUUGUGAGUUAGUCGUCAUACAGAGUAUGGAGUGGAGGAGAUGAACAUUCAUGGAAAAACAUAUGCUCUCUCCAGGUUGAUGGUGCAGGAGCCUGGACGUGGAGCUCUGAAACCAGUGACAGGAUUUGCUUACACAGUAUGGUUAUGGCAAGGAGGGCUUCUUGUAGAUGUAGUGAAGGUGUUGUCCAUGAUUCCCAACUCUGCGUUGAUGCCACUGC
This is a long non-coding RNA of Ochotona curzoniae (black-lipped pika), 495 nucleotides long. RefSeq lists it as uncharacterized. The record is from RefSeq and is a predicted model, not a curated record. The transcript is spliced from 3 exons. Lineage: Eukaryota; Metazoa; Chordata; Mammalia; Lagomorpha; Ochotonidae.